RNAcentral lists this long non-coding RNA (238 nucleotides) under Elaeis guineensis (African oil palm). RNAcentral describes it as "long non-coding RNA (EGUI_LNC020987)". The record is from RNAcentral. Lineage: Eukaryota; Viridiplantae; Streptophyta; Magnoliopsida; Arecales; Arecaceae.
UAACUUUGGUAUCGAAGACUUCGGCCAUAGCUGGAAGAUCCACUGAGAUGGGCUCCACAAUAGUGACCUCGGUAACCUCCUGAUUCGCCUUCUUAGCUUGUUCCUUAGGUACUUCGACAGAUGGUUUGGGCUCCCCUUCAAUACCCAUAUCAAUAGCAAUCUUUGGAGUCAUCUUGAAAAUAUCAACUUCAGGAAAUAACUUCUUGAUUAGAUUCCGACAUUGAUAGAACCCAUAGUC